This 479-nucleotide ribosomal RNA is filed under the name uncultured Chloroflexota bacterium. RNAcentral's name for it is "bacterial SSU rRNA". It matches the Rfam family "Bacterial small subunit ribosomal RNA", at positions 28 to 507 of the family's 1533-position model. Lineage: Bacteria; Bacillati; Chloroflexota. The record is from RNAcentral.
GAUGAACGCUGGCGGCGUGCCUAACACAUGCAAGUCGAACGUGAAAAUCUGACGGAGUACUUCGGUAUAAAGUUGGGUUGGAAAGUGGCGAACGGGUGAGUAACACGUAGGUAACCUGCCUCGAAGUGGGGGAUAACCAUUGGAAACGAUGGCUAAUACCGCAUGGUCCUUAUUGUACGGGAGUACGAUAGGGUAAAGCCUUGGCGCUUUGAGAGGGGCCUGCGUCCGAUUAGUUAGUUGGUGAGGUAAGAGCUCACCAAGGCGAAGAUCGGUAGCUGGUCUGAGAGGACGAUCAGUCACACGGGAACUGAGACACGGUCCCGACUCCUACGGGGGGCAGCAGUGAGGAAUAUUGCACAAUGGGGGCAACCCUGAUGCAGCAACGCCGCGUGGAGGAUGAAGGCCCUUGGGUCGUAAACUCCUUUUCUGCGGGAAGAGGAAGGACGGUACCGCAGGAAUAAGUCACGGCUAACUACGUG